RNAcentral lists this ribosomal RNA (268 nucleotides) under uncultured bacterium. RNAcentral describes it as "partial 16S ribosomal RNA". It matches the Rfam family "Bacterial small subunit ribosomal RNA", at positions 85 to 354 of the family's 1533-position model. The record is from RNAcentral.
CCGAUGGCGACCGGCGCACGGGUGAGUAACACGUAUCCAACCUGCCGAUAACUCGGGGAUAGCCUUUCGAAAGAAAGAUUAAUAUCCGAUAGGAUAUCAAGGUCGCAUGAUCUUGAUAUUAAAGAAUUUCGGUUAUCGAUGGGGAUGCGUUCCAUUAGUUAGUUGGCGGGGUAACGGCCCACCAAGACGACGAUGGAUAGGGGUUCUGAGAGGAAGGUCCCCCACAUUGGAACUGAGACACGGUCCAAACUCCUACGGAAGGCAGCAG